This 253-nucleotide ribosomal RNA is filed under the name uncultured bacterium. RNAcentral's name for it is "partial 16S ribosomal RNA". It matches the Rfam family "Bacterial small subunit ribosomal RNA", at positions 524 to 776 of the family's 1533-position model. The record is from RNAcentral.
UACAGAGCCUGCAAGCGUUAUUCGGAUUCACUGGGCGUAAAGGGUGCGCAGGCGGCCGAGUGUGUCAGGUGUGAAAGCCCGGGGCUUAACCCCGGAAUUGCGCCUGAAACUACUUGGCUAGAGCAUUGGAGAGGGUAGCGGAAUUCACGGUGUAGCAGUGAAAUGCGUAGAUAUCGUGAGGAACACCAGAGGCGAAGGCGGCGACCUGGACAAUUGCUGACGCGCAGGAACGAAAGCGUGGGGAGCAAAAGGG